This is a small nucleolar RNA of Drosophila melanogaster (fruit fly), 140 nucleotides long. Lineage: Eukaryota; Metazoa; Arthropoda; Insecta; Diptera; Drosophilidae. The record is from Ensembl.
GGGGGCCUGUGAAAUCAGUUUGUUGCAAUUUGACGUUACUAGAAUUGUUGCACUUUCCGCGGGCCCAGAGAGAUACUUCCGGAUAAUCAUAGGCUGCUGGUUUUCAAUACCAUAGUCUAUUUCAUGGCCGGCAAACAAAU